Molecule: long non-coding RNA, 856 nt
Organism: Oncorhynchus tshawytscha (Chinook salmon)
Lineage: Eukaryota; Metazoa; Chordata; Actinopteri; Salmoniformes; Salmonidae
Source: Ensembl
GUGAGAUAUCUACCCUGUUACUGUAUUACAUAGUGAAGGAAGACCCAGGGCUUUACUUGUUGUGAAGGAUAUGUUUUGCAGUCUGUUCCUCCAAGGCUUUGGUAAAAGAAAGGGGGAAAAACUAUAUUGUUUACCUGGAGUGGUAUGAGGAAAUAUGAAUUCUGAAAGGCUCUAGGUGGGUCACAGUCAUCGAGUCACAUUCCAUACAAGUCUUCAGAUCUGUCUGAUAAUUAAUGUACAAUGAGGUACUCGUUUGAUCUGCAGUAUCCAGGUUAUGACCACGACACCCCCCUCACCUGCAUGGAACAACCCGGAACCUUCGAACCCAACAACGAUCAGGAGAUCUGGGAGUCUGAGAGAGAGGGUGGUGAUGAGGAUCCCCAUGCUAUGAGCCCUGUAGCUAACGGCUCAGCUAUGGGGGCUGGAGAGACUGGCUCUACAGGGGAGAACGAAGGAGAGAAGCAGGCUCAUGGUGAUAGUGACGGAGACAGCUUCAACAACUUCUGUGCCAGUGAUGUCACUCCGCCCAUAAAAAGGGUUGGCUUUAGCCUGGACCUCGACCUGAGUGACAAGGUGUUACUCGGCUCCAGCCCUGACCUUUGACCCUUGAGUGACAGGGUGUUACUCGGCUCCGGCCCUGACCUUCGACCCUGUAUGUCCAGAUAACGUCUUCACUGAGAUCAAGAUGUACAUAGCACCUUUUAUUUGAUCUAUAAAAUGUCAGAAUGUACACGGCUCCAGAUCAGUGUUUACUUUCUGAUACUGUAAUUCAUUUUAAUAAUGUUUUGAGCGUGACCAAGAGAGCGAUGUCACGUGGUUUUAGAAUGAAAAAAAUGUACUUCACAGAGGACUUGAC